This 7707-nucleotide long non-coding RNA is filed under the name Homo sapiens (human). Its description in RNAcentral is "non-protein coding lnc-CPEB2-2:6". The record is from RNAcentral. Lineage: Eukaryota; Metazoa; Chordata; Mammalia; Primates; Hominidae.
AUCAGAAGCAGAAGCGCCCUGGUGAUUCUAUGCCACACCACCAUUCCCCAGGAAAAUGUUCUCCACUGAGACAAAAUCCUUAAAUUUUUAGAAUGGCCUUAUUAUGGAUUACAGCAAACAUCUCAGCACAUCUUUCUCAGCAAGGAUCUCAAAACAGCAUUGGGAUGGCCUUAUUAAUAGAUCCCUUACGAAAACUCAGAAAAGUUAGAGAGGCACUCAGAAUCUUCCUAAAAUAUGAAAUGUUGAAAUCUGGAUUCUUUUUUUACCAUGACUGCAAAAUGUAAGCCACUACUUGGGCUCACCUUGUUGAAUCAGAUUUCUUCUACUUUGCCAUUUUGAUGAUAUCACUCCCAGGUAUGUUUUUUUCUUUUUUUUUCCUUUUCUUUUUCCUUUCUUUUCUCUUUCUUUUUUUUUUUUUUUUUUUUUUUUGAGACAGAGUUGUGCUCCUGUUGCCCAGGCUGGAGUGCAAUGGCACGAUCUCUGUAGGCUCACUGCAACCUCCACCUCCCCAGUUCAAGCAAUUCUCCUGCCUCAGCCUCCCGAGUAGCUGAGAUCACAGGAGCCUGCCACGACGCCCAGAUAAAUUUUUGUAUUUUUUUAGUAGAGAUGGGGUUUCACCAUGUUGGCCAGGCUGGUCUUGAACUCCUGACCUCCAGUCAUCUGCCCACCUAUGCCUACCAAAGUGCUCACUCCCAGGAGAUGAAUCUAUUGCUUCCAGAGCAUGAAUACUAGAACAGAGGACAGUUGGUAAAACUGAGAUACCAUGCCAGGUAAUAGUCGGAGUUUCAGCUGGAAAAUAGAAGAUAUGUUUCCAUUGGGUCAAGCAAGAAGAGCUUGAGACAUCUCAUCGAUUACCUACAAAAACUGCCCAGAUAAGUGAGGAGACCCAUGAGAUUUGGUAUAAAUUGCUCACUGUAUGUGGGGUAACAGAAAGAAGAAUAACCCAACAUAGAAAGCCUCAAAGCAGGAAGAUACUACACAGACUUCCAAAGAAGCAGUGAGAGGACACCAUCUGAUGCUGGCUGCACCAAGAAGCCUGAAUGGCUGUCAGUGUCAGGUGGGGAAGCAGAUGACAGAAGAGAGGAGAACAUGAAAUUGUACUAUAACUGCGUUUGUUGUCCAAAUAAGCACAAGCUGUUCCAUAUACUUUUACAUGUUUCAUUUACUUCUGCAGAGAGGAAAGAAGAAAGAUGAGAGGGAAAGCUAAGAAAAGGUGAGAAGAAAGGGUCAGGAGGAGAAAUGCAAAGAGACUGGGAUAAUUUUUUGGACCAUACCUUCUCUGCUGGCAGCUUACUGUGACUGCACCAUCCAAAAUUUGGUAUAAGGAUUUGGAAAUUUGACCAAUAUUUCUUAGAAGCUCCCCCUUCGUCUUCCACCAUGAUUGUAAGCUUCCUGAGGCCUCACUAGAAGAUGAACAGAUGCCAACACCAUGCUUCCUGUAAAAUCUUCAGAACUGUUUUUUCCACUUCCCCAGAUGGUGUCUGUGGGAUUGGCUCUCACUUUCAAGCUUCACUGACCCUAGAUGAUGGACUAGGAUCUGCUUUGGACAUCUGAGCCCAGGCUAAAGUAGGCAAAGGACAAGAGCUGCCCGCUCUUUCAGAAGCAUCUCUCAGAGAGUGACAUCCCCCUGCACACAGCUGCCAUGUCUGUAUGGCUGACUUGGGAGAAAUGCCAGAAAGGUUGGCAUGAGUGAGCAACUGUGAGGAGACCAUCAGAUGGAAACACCCAAGAGAUAAUAUUCUGGAAAACUGUAAAACUGAUUCUCUGUUGAAGUCCAAGAAGGGUACACUUAUAUGGAUGUGACUAAGAAGCAGAAAAAAAAUGAAGAUUGUCACCAGGUAAACGGGAGCGCCAUCUGGAUGGGACUAGAGUUUCUCUGUGGACCCAAGUCAGCUCAGUCACCCCUUCAUCACGGAUCCAGACCUGACGAAUUUCUAAUACAAAUGUCCACCUGGAAGCAUCACUCUGCCUAACCCAGCUGUGCUUUCAUUCUGAGGUUUUAAUUCUCUUGUAUCUCAGUGUCCAAUGGCCCUUCUAUCUGAUGUCAACUUCUGAAUUUCCUGACUUAUGAUCACCAUCAAGAGAACUGCAACAAUGGCAGAAAUGAUUUCUGAAAACCUGCAGCACAAGAUGCAUUCAAAUCUUUCCUGGGUCCCUUGCUGUUCAUCACUUCUCUAUUUUUUUCCCUCCAAACAUUUAUUUCCAAGCACUUUUCCCUAAUCAUUCUUAAAUCUUAGAAUUUAAACUCUCAAGUAUAUUUACAUUUAAAUAGAGUGCUGGGGCCUUUUGGUAUUUGAAAAAGCUUUUGAGAUUUGUAAUGAACUUCUAAAAGGUUCUGAAACUUUGCCAAGUGUUGGUCUAUUCUGAACAAUGGGAAUCCUGGAUUCAAUUCAGAACUACCCAGUCUUUAAUCCAAAAUCAAAAGGAGCUUUCAAAAAUCUGCAAUUGUUCCCUGACUCCUGAGCUUCACAGUCAAGACCUUCGCUGAUCGGCCCCCCACCUACCUUGUCAAGUCCAUCUCUCAACCCACAAGAGCGACACUGGCCUGCCUCUUCCUCUCCUGGUUUCUCCCUAAUUGCCAUUUUCUUUCUCUUGUCUCUUACUUUCCCCUUGGCCUGAAACACCCUCCCUCCACUGUACCAACUGCCUUUUUGAAAUUGAUAGGCUAAGCUCAAUAUCACCUCCAUUAUUACGCUAAUUUUUAUGGCCUUCAGAUAAUUUAGGGAGAAGUACAUAAAUUAGUCCCCAGAAAUGUCUGAGUUGAUGUUUUGCAUAAGUUCUCAGAAGCCAUAUCACUAAGGCACACUAUUACAGCUUUAUUUUCUGUAAAAUGAAGCUUAACAAUUUGUUUGGUAUGAUUUCUGUAUAAGUCAAGUCAUGUUUAGGAAGUUUUUGGCGUAUAAUCAGUGCCCCUUACUAGCUUUGGAAAUUUGGAAAACUCACUGUCUCUGCUUCAGAAUUCUCAGCCAGGUCACAGGUUUAAUAAUAAGACAUUCCUGAAAGGGUUGUGGUGAGGAUUAAAUGAGGAUAUCUAUAUGAAAAUCUUAGAACAAUACCUUGCCAAUAUCAACAUCUCAUUAAACCAAUUAAUUGUUUUUAUCAAAAAAUGUUUUCUUCUCUGCUCCAUGUUUAUCUGAGUUAGCUUAGCUGAAAUAGAAACACCUGUGCAUGUUCUUUGCAUUCCUCAAGCACUGUAUACUACUUGAUGACAACUACUAUAUUUUUGCAAAGCCAAAAACUAGGCAUGGUGCAGUAUACAUUUUUAAUAUACUAUAUAUGCAAUGCAAUCAAAUUACAUCCAGAAAAAAAAGCUCUGCCCUAUUGUAAAUGUCCUCAUAUUUUUAUCCCAACAACCACAAAGAAUGUGAACAACAAAGCAAGUUUUACUUUUCAAUGAAAAUUAUUAUCACUCACCCUUCAUUCCAUUACUUCUUUUGGGAAAUGAAAAUAAGCAACAGCAUUCCUCCAAAAUGACGUGUUUGUCCCUUUAACUUUGGACUGCUUCAUUUUUCUUUGGGAAGCAGAUCACCAUAGGGUGCAUGUUAUAGACAGAUGACAUUUCUUUUUCUAAUUUAGAUGAAAGAACUCUGAAAUACUGGUAUUUGGUCGAGCAUACUGGGCUGUUCCAGACUAAGACUUUUGAUCUUGAAUGCAGACCUGCCAGUACUCUAUAUUUCAGAUUGAUGGAUGGUAUUACUGGCAUCAUAUUUUCAUUAUUUUUUGUUCUCCUGUUCCCUGUGCCAAACCACCACUAAAUCAUAGACACUAAAUGUUGAAUAAAGUAAAAUAUCUAUGAAUUAGAAAUGAAUCCUUUUAUUAUUUUAUUCACUUAUCUCAUCCCAUGCUACAUUUUCCAUCAUUCAUCUGAUUUUCCUAAUUUCUUCGUAUAUUCUUCUCUUUGACCUUUCCUUAGAUUCUUUACAUUUUAAAGGAGGCAGCAUGGGGAGACAAAAAGGCUUUGAGCUCGGAGUCAAGAAACCUGGCCCUCAUCUUAAAUUUGCUUUCAACUUGCUUUAUAAGCUUGGGAACCUGUUUUCUCACCUGUUAAGAAGCAAAAUGCACCACACAAUCUCCAAAUCACUUGUAAUCCUAUCUCUAAUUUCUAAUUUUUAUCUAGAGCUUUCCCCCACUAUCUUAAGAAAUAGAUCCUUCACUCAACUUUUGUUUAUUUCCAUUUAACUAAUACUUUAAUGUCUCUUUCUGUCAUAUUUUCUACCUAUGAUUGCUUUGAAGUUUAAUGAAAUCAUCUGCAUUGAAUAUCUUGUAAUCAACCUUCUUUGUCAAUCCUUUAUUCUGCCCUCUCCCUUUCCUCUAUACCACCUUGUUUCUAUCCUUCUCUCUAUUCCAAAGUCCUAUUUACUCUUUAUUGUUUUGCAACCUCAAAUUUAAUACAUCAGUAAAUUGUGUCAUAAGUUCAUUCAGCAAAUACAUAGCUACAGUGGGCCAGGCACUAGGAUGUUUUGGGAUUUCAAAGGGCCCAAUAAAUAAAAUUCCCAUUCUUUGCCUGAGUUUGAAACUAGUUGAGAAACACAUAUAACAAAAAAAAAAAAAAUUGAGAGGUGAAGAUCAAAAUAUCCUGAUAAAACUGUUGGAAGAUGCUGCUUUUAGUUUGUUAGCCAAGUCCCCAAAGGGAGAGAAUAACAUGUUCCCAUCCUUCUCCAAACUCAUUGAUGAGCUGAGUUCCUUCGCUGCCUCUGAGAGAGAGUAAGUGUAGUAACUGAGUCCAGGGAAGGUGGGCAAGAGAGAGACCAGGGUGUUACUGAUGCAGGCCCUGCCCUAGAGAAACAUGAGAAUUGGGAGAUAGUGGUGACCACUAAGAUGAGGGACUGGCAAUAUGUCAGUAAGUAAGACAGCCAUUAGCAUCACUCUUGUGGAGUUUAUAGUUUAGAGAAGACAGAGCUUGAAAAGUAAUUAGAAGAGAGGUAAAUAUGUAAUGCAGAGUAGAGCAUGCCACAGGAAUACAAAGCAGAAAGGCUUACUGCCUCUGGGGAGCCAAAUAAAGCUUCUCCUGGAAAGUGUGCAUGAGCUGAGGCCUAGAGAUGAGAAGAAACAAGACGAAGCGCUGGCUGAUGAGAUGAGAAGAGUGUCUAGGGUAAUGGAAAAAGCACAAGAGAGUUUGUGGCAUGUCUGGGGAGAUGAAGUGUGGCCAGAGGCUGCGUGGUGAAAGAGCGAUUGGAAUUAGAUGAGGAGGAAGGGCAGAGAAGAGCCCAAAUCAUGCAAAUUAGAACACAGACUAUACCCUAAUGUCACCGAGGGAACUUUGAGAGAUUUUAAGCUACUGCAAGAUAUUUUAGUAAAAAUGUCAGGUCAACAACUGGGUGUGGACAUCCAAAGAGAAGAUUGUGUAGGGUAUGCGAACAUGAAAAUCAUUGGCAAAUAGAUUAUUUAUGAAUCUUGAGGCUGAGGUGGGCAAAUCUCUUGAGGUCAGGAGUUGAAGACCACCAGCCUGCCCAACAUGGUGAAACCUUGUCUCUAAUAAAAAUACAAAAAUUAACCAGGUGUAGUGGCAUACGCUUGUCAUCCCAGAUACUCAGGAGGCUGAGGCAGGAGAAUUGCUUGAAUUCGGGAAGUGGAGGUUGCAGUGAGAUGAGAUUGCACCACUGCAUUCCAACCUGGGCAACAGAGACUCUGUCUCAAAAAGAAAAAAAAAGGGUUAUUUAUGAACCUUAAGAAAUGAAUAUACUUAUCCACUGAGCAAGCACUAUGAGGCCAUAGGAGAGUUUAUGAGAGAUUCCAAGGAUCCCUAAUAUUUAAUGGCUGAGUAGAGGAAGCUAGAGAACUAGGACCGGAAGAAGAACUGAGUGUUCGGAGAUGGAGAAAUCUCUCAUCAUCCUUGCAGAAGACAAAUUUGAUAUCCUCUGUCCUUGUAUGCUGUUUUCUUACCAUAGUCUGCUGAAAGGUCAAGCAGAAGGAGGAAUGAAAAGAGGACAUUGGAUUUAGUGUAUUAAAUAAUUCAGGCAACACUAGCAGGAGCAAUUUCAGUGGAGUGGUGGAUGUGAAAGAGCCAAAGUUGGACUGGGUUAAAAAGAGUUUAGGGAGGCUGGGCACGGUGGCUCACGCCUGUAAUCCCAGCACUUUGGGAGGCCAAGGUGGGCAGAUCACGAGGUCAGGAGUUAGAGAGCAGCCUGGCCAAUAUGGUGAAACCCUAUCUCUACUGAAAACACAAAAAAUUAGCUGGGUGUGGUGGCACAUGCCUGUAGUCACAACUACUCGGGAGGCUGAGGUAGGAGAAUUGCUUGAACCCAGAAGGCAGAGAUUGCAGUGAGCCAAAACUGUGUCACUGUACUUCAGCCUGGUGACAGAGCAAGACUCCAUCUCAAAAAAAAAAAAAAAAAAAAAAAGAGAAGAAAAAGAAAAAGAAAAAAGAAAAAGAAAAAAUUUAUGGAAUAAAAUUUUCACCUAAAAUAUUUUAAGAUUAAUUAUAAAUAAUAAUUAAAAUGAAACGUAGAAUAAGGGGAAUACUUACUGUGUCUUUCUUGUCCUCAUUAUGGACAAAAAGGGAGAAAGAUGCAUGAAUCUAGAUUAAGGAGAGCUUGUAAAUUAAUGAUGCAAAUUUCAAAUAUUUUCAGUGUUGUAGUUCUUCAUUUUUUGUAAAUUGGGAGGAAGUGAUAUCCACCAAGAGUGAGAAGAGAAGGGAAAGGGUCUGACUUUACAAAUAUUGAAAAAACAGGGUGACUAAAAAUAAAUCGUAAGGUAUUUUUGGCAGGGUUUAAAUUAAAACUGGCAUUAGGAUCUAUAAAUGUACAGUUGUACAAGUCAUCAGAUUAGGAAACUCAGUAGAUUACAUGAAGGUGAAGAACUGGUGGCCAGGCAAUGGCUCACACCUGUAAGCACAGCACUUUGGGAGCCCGAGGCAGGCAGAUCACUCAAUGAGGCAGAUCACUUGAGGCUAGAGUUUGAGACCAGCCUGGAUAACAUGGCAAAACUCCAUCUCUACUAAAAAUACCAAACGUUGGCCAAGUGUGGUGGCAGGCACCCAUAAUCCCAGCUACUCAGGAGGCUAAGGCAGGGGGAUUGCUUGAGCCUGGGAGGUGGACAUUGCAGUGAGCCGAGAUUGCACCACUGCACUUCAGCCUGGGUGACAGAAGAGACUCUGUCUAAAAAAAAAAAAAAAAAAAAGGAAGGAAAGAAAGAAAGAAUUGGAAUUUAUCCAUCUCAAAUUUUUUCAACGGGAUGCUUAAUGAAUGUACAAAAGGGGUAAACCAAUAUAAGGUUUGGUGCAGACAUGGGUAUAAAAAGAUAGGCUUUAAAAUACAACCUAGAAGGAGAGCAUAAUAGAUGCAGUAAUUUCCUGUGGGUUUCAAGGAACUAGAUAUUCUGAUGAGGCAGAAAAUUAAAUGCAGACUGGUGGGCGAACUGUAACAUUAGUGGAUUAUGGCAGAGAAUGUGGGAUCUACAUCAGCACCUUCACAGGAAGAGCUGCUUCCAAGUACGACAUCUUGAAAAAUGGUCCUGGGAUUGACAUCUGAGGCAGGGAAUACAAGAGAAAGUGAGUGAAAGAUGUAUAAAAGGCCGGGUGCGGUGGUUCACGCCUGUAAUACCAGCAUUUUGAGAGGCCAAGGCGGGCGGAUCACGAGGUCAGGAGUUCGAGAGCGACCUGGCCAAUAUGGUGAAACCCCAUCUCUACUAAAAGAACAAAAAUUAGCCAGGCAUGGUGGCAUGCACCUGUAAUCCCAGCUACUUGGGAGGCUGAGGCAGAAGAAUCGC